ACCUGCCAUCAGAAGAAGGUUGCGCCAAAACUAAAAAAAGUGGAUUUUUUCUCAAAUACUACUGGUAAAUCAUCUGUCUGUGACAUGACAAACAUAUCUGAAUCAGAGUGCUGACAACUGAAAUAGCUGGUUUUGGAGAAAGAAAAUGUCAUUUUAGAAGCUAAAGAUGACCAAUUGAUACAAUACAGAGUCCUAGGCAACACUAAGCAUGAAAUGUAGUGAUGAAAAAGAGGGCAACAGUCACCGAGCUGAAAUUCAAUAGCAGGAAAUAGCUCAUCUGGCAAAUGAUCAAGACAUGGUGGAAAUAAAGAACUGUAGAAAACUAAACAAUUGAAGAAGUUCAUAUAUAUCGGGACUCCUGGAGGAACCACAAUUGACACUUGACAUUAUUAACUCAUGUACAAAUUACAAAAUGCUGUUUAACUAUUCAACAUGGUAAUGUGAAAAAAGUCAGCUAUUUUUUUAAAGUUU
Molecule: long non-coding RNA, 471 nt
Organism: Ruditapes philippinarum (Manila clam)
Lineage: Eukaryota; Metazoa; Mollusca; Bivalvia; Venerida; Veneridae
Exons: 3
Source: RefSeq, a predicted model, not a curated record